RNAcentral lists this transfer RNA (74 nucleotides) under Phrynosoma platyrhinos (Desert horned lizard). RNAcentral describes it as "tRNA-OTHER". The stretch from base 11 to 74 matches the Rfam family "tRNA". Rfam says of the family: Transfer RNA (tRNA) molecules are approximately 80 nucleotides in length. Their secondary structure includes four short double-helical elements and three loops (D, anti-codon, and T loops). Lineage: Eukaryota; Metazoa; Chordata; Lepidosauria; Squamata; Phrynosomatidae. The record is from RNAcentral.
GACCCAGCAUGGCAUAGUGGUUUGAGCACUGGACUGCGACUCUGGAGACCAGGGUUCGAUUCCCCGCUCAGCCA